RNAcentral lists this ribosomal RNA (263 nucleotides) under uncultured archaeon. Its description in RNAcentral is "partial 16S ribosomal RNA". It matches the Rfam family "Archaeal small subunit ribosomal RNA", at positions 748 to 1009 of the family's 1478-position model. The record is from RNAcentral.
CAGCCGUAAACUAUGCGCGUUAGGUGUAUCGGUGACCACGAGUUACCGAGGUGCCGAAGGGAAACCGUGAAACGUGCCGCCUGGGAAGUACGGUCGCAAGGCUGGAACUUAAAGGAAUUGGCGGGGGGAGGCACCACAACAGGUGGAGCCUGCGGUUUAAUUGGACUCAACGCCGGGAAGCUCACCGGAUAAGACAGCAGAAUGAUUGCCGGGCUGAAGACCCUGCAUGACUAGCUGAGAGGAGGUGCAUGGCGUAGACGUCU